This 449-nucleotide long non-coding RNA is filed under the name Astyanax mexicanus (Mexican tetra). RNAcentral's name for it is "lncRNA (ENSAMXG00005007169.1)". The record is from RNAcentral. Lineage: Eukaryota; Metazoa; Chordata; Actinopteri; Characiformes; Acestrorhamphidae.
GUUGAUUAGGAUGAGGAACACCUUGUGAAACGGUCUGUUAAAUGUGUUAGUUCACUAUAAAACUGUGAAAUAACGCUUGAUAUCCUCAGAAAAGGCUUUAUUGAGGUGAUAUUAGUAGUUGUUGCUGCUUCAGGUGAGCGGAUGGCUGAGAUUUUCCACGAGUUUUAGGAGCUCAGGUGAGCGGAUGGCUGAGAUUUUCCCCAGUUUUAGGAGCUCAGGACUUUUGUGUGCACUGCUUUCGUGUUUUGGGGUUUGAUUGGAUUAAGGACAGUAAAAUUGAGGGUCCUGGAUGACCGUCUCCAACUUAUUAGCCAAUGAUGAAUCAGUUUACUCUGCAUGGCUUCUGAUUGGCUCACUGCUGCUAAAUCCCUGUGAAUCAACCCUUAAAUCAACUUUUACUAAACAGUCAGCUCGUGGUCACGGCCAAGUGACAAAUGAGCCCACCUUCG